UACGUAGGGGCCGAGCGUUGUCCGGAAUUACUGGGCGUAAAGCGCGCGCAGGCGGCUGGUCAAGCCCGACGUGAAAGCCCCCGGCUCAACCGGGGAGGGUCGUCGGGGACUGAUCGGCUUGAGGGCGGUAGGGGCCGGUGGAAUUCCCGGUGUAGUGGUGAAAUGCGUAGAUAUCUGGAGGAACACCGGUGGCGAAGGCGGCAUCCUGGACCGACACUGACGCUGAGGCGCGAAAGCCAGGGUAGCAAACGGG
RNAcentral lists this ribosomal RNA (253 nucleotides) under uncultured bacterium. Its description in RNAcentral is "partial 16S ribosomal RNA". It matches the Rfam family "Bacterial small subunit ribosomal RNA", at positions 524 to 776 of the family's 1533-position model. The record is from RNAcentral.